CCAUCAUCAUUCAAUCAUUUGAGGCCCCCUAAAAUCAUUCCCUCUGACACCCUUCAGGAUUCUCUCUCUCUCCCUCUCUCUCUCUCUCUCUCUCUCUCUCUCUCUCUCUCUCUCUUUGAAAAUUUAUGAGUCACCACCCUCACCAUACGCUAUACACCAUAGUUGUUAUAGCUUCAAUAUGUGAAGCUCUAAACAGUUGAGCAUAGUCCUCUCAACCCUCACUCACUCCCAU
Molecule: long non-coding RNA, 232 nt
Filed under: Lathyrus oleraceus (garden pea)
Lineage: Eukaryota; Viridiplantae; Streptophyta; Magnoliopsida; Fabales; Fabaceae
Description: Pisum sativum (pea) long non-coding RNA (PSAT_LNC005910)
Source: RNAcentral